This is a long non-coding RNA of Chinchilla lanigera (long-tailed chinchilla), 762 nucleotides long. RefSeq lists it as uncharacterized. Lineage: Eukaryota; Metazoa; Chordata; Mammalia; Rodentia; Chinchillidae. The transcript has 3 exons. The record is from RefSeq and is a predicted model, not a curated record.
UAGCUGGGAGCCUUGUAAAAUCGGGCAGAGAGAGAGACAGACUGUCAAGAGGAAAACAAACAGAAGUGUAUUCACGCGCAUGUUGCAUGUGUACAGAUAAAGACAGCACACAAGCUCCUGAACAAGUGAGCAAGCGCAUAAAUUGGCUAAGUGUCAAUUACUUGCCAAAUUUACGUGGUGUGCAUUUCAUUCUUCUUUCAACUCUUCUGUACAUUUGAAAAUUUUCAAGCAAGAAUGGCCCACAUAGGAGGCUUCUUCUGCAGCUCCCUGCCAUCACCUUCCACAUCACUAACAGGCUCACGAAGCUCACCAGGCCAAUGGCAUCAGCCUGUCUGGACUAAGAGGGGUCCAUCUGCUUCAACUUGCCACCCCCAACGUUCACCCAGGACUCUUCUCCCAGAGUGACCUCAGCACAUGAAAAUGUUCUUCAGCUACCUUCUCUGCUUUAAAGCCUACAAUGGGCCCCAUUUAUUUCACGACAAAAUUCAAACCCUUUCCUGCAGCCUGUAAGACCCUUCAGAACCUAGUUGCUACUUACCGCUCUGACUCCCUCCUAUAUCUCCCCAGUUUUAAGGCUCUGGAGUUAGAGAAACUUAGAUUACAGUUUGCCUCCAUAUCCCAAAAGUUCAGGGAUGAAGGUAUCAUUCUAGACCUCAGUAUAAUCAAUUACACGAUGGGUAAAAUACACCUAUCUCUGAGGUUAUUAUUAAGGUCAAAUAAAAACAAGACAGAAUGUAGGUGCAAAUCUUAGUAACUGGUACA